RNAcentral lists this ribosomal RNA (788 nucleotides) under Mastophora rosea. Its description in RNAcentral is "SSU rRNA". Lineage: Eukaryota; Rhodophyta; Florideophyceae; Corallinales; Mastophoraceae. The record is from RNAcentral.
AGGAUGUUUUCAUUGAUCAAGAACGAAAGUAAGGGGAUCGAAGACGAUCAGAUACCGUCGUAGUCUUUACUAUAAACGAUGAGGACUGGGGAUCGGGCGAGGAAUUACGAUGACCCGCCCGGCACCCUCCGGGAAACCAAAGUGUUUGCUUUCUGGGGGGAGUAUGGUCGCAAGGCUGAAACUUAAAGGAAUUGACGGAAGGGCAUCCCCGGGUGUGGAGCCUGCGGCUUAAUUUGACUCAACACGGGAAAACUUACCAGGUCAGGACAUAGUGAGGAUUGACAGAUUGAGAGCUCUUUCUUGAUUCUAUGGUUGGUGGUGCAUGGCCGUUCUUAGUUGGUGGAGUGAUUUGKCUGGUUAAUUCCGUUAACGAGCGAGACCUGGGCGUGCUAAAUAGGGGCUACUACCCUCGUGGUAGUAUGUUUCUCCUUCUUAGACGGACUGUGGGCGUCUAGUCCACGGAAGCUCCAGGCAAUAACAGGUCUGAGAUGCCCUUAGAUGUUCUGGGCCGCACGCGUGCUACACUGAGUGGAUCAGCGGGUCAGGUUGCGCGAAAGUGUUUCCUAAUCUUGAAAUCCGCUCGUGAUGGGGAUUGAGGGUUGCAAUUCUCCCUCAGGAACGAGGAAUACCUUGUAAGCGCGGGUCAUCAUCCCGCGCUGAAUACGUCCCUGCCCUUUGUACACACCGCCCGUCGCUCCUACCGAUUGAGUGGUCCGGUGAGGCUUUGGGAUCUAAGCGGAAAGAGCGUUUCGCUCGUUCUGCUGGGAGAAGUCAGUCGAACCUUAUCA